CAGCAGCCGCGGGAAUACGAAGGGGGCUAGCGUUGCUCGGAAUGACUGGGCGUAAAGGGCGCGUAGGCGGCGGCCAAAGUCAGGCGUGAAAUUCCCGGGCUCAACCUGGGGGCUGCGCUUGAUACUUGGUUGCUUGAGUGGGGAAGAGGGUCGUGGAAUUCCCAGUGUAGAGGUGAAAUUCGUAGAUAUUGGGAAGAACACCGGUGGCGAAGGCGGCGACCUGGUCCUUUACUGACGCUGAGGCGCGAAAGCGUGGGGAGCAAACAGGAUUAGAUACCCGAGUAGUCCCUGUCUCUUAUAC
This 301-nucleotide ribosomal RNA is filed under the name uncultured bacterium. RNAcentral describes it as "partial 16S ribosomal RNA". It matches the Rfam family "Bacterial small subunit ribosomal RNA", at positions 509 to 807 of the family's 1533-position model. The record is from RNAcentral.